This 497-nucleotide long non-coding RNA is filed under the name Pan troglodytes (chimpanzee). RNAcentral's name for it is "long non-coding RNA NONPTRT015763". The record is from RNAcentral. Lineage: Eukaryota; Metazoa; Chordata; Mammalia; Primates; Hominidae.
GCAGCCAUUGGAUGAAAUGUUUGGGUUUUCUUGAAGAUCUUAGAAGAUAACUUAAGUGAGGGCGGAUGGAGAAAAAAUUUAGACCCUAUGGAGGCAUAUAAGGAAUCUGCUCUUUUAGAACAUAUUUUUGAAAUUUGGUGAGAUUGGCCUCUUACGAGGAGUGAUUGAGAAGCUGCACUCUCAGAGAGUGAAGAACUCAAUUCCAGGGAGCUUGACAUAGAUGGUGCAUGAAGUGUCUCAAGAGGAAGGCAGAGAAUAAGAUCUCAGUUACACAGUCUGGGCAAGAAUACAAGAAAAUCACCCAAAAAACUGCGACCAUCAGAGGAGCCUCCAUGUUAGAGUCUCUGGGCCUCUGUCUCUUCAGAAUCCACCCUGGAAACAGUGUGCAUCAAAACACUUCGGAGUUCUUAGAGGCACUGGGAAUUAUCUGCUGGCUUCCCACCUUUAAAGAGACUGGGCUAGUUAAAUAUCCCCCUCUGUUCAUUUUUUAAAAUUUG